UUAUUUGGCCGAAUUUGCGCGAGAGUAGCUAAGCGUUCUUGGCCGAGAGUAGUACUUGGAUUGGUGACCUCUUGGGAAGUCCUCGUGUCGCACCCC
Molecule: non-coding RNA, 96 nt
Organism: Gossypium hirsutum (cotton)
Lineage: Eukaryota; Viridiplantae; Streptophyta; Magnoliopsida; Malvales; Malvaceae
Source: Rfam